AUACGUUCUAGGGUGAUUCUUUAAUGUUAUAUUAAUUAUUCAUCUAUCAAGACGACCAAUUUUAUUUUAUUUUCUACCUUCAGGAGUGUUCAAAUACCUCCCAGAACAACAGAGUGAGAGAAAAGAGGGCUCACUAUGGAUUUAAGGUCAGCAGCAAGAGGAUUUCUAGCUUUCCUUCUGUCAGUACCAGACAACUUCCAUCAUCGGACAAUCAUACAGUAAAACCAUCCUCCAUCCCUCCCUCCAUCUCUCCCUCUCUCCACAUUAAAAAAAAACACUGAAAAUACCUGCAGUAAACAACCAGAAGAGCUGGAGCACGAGUGCUUUCCGAAUCAGUUAUGAUAUUGUUGGGAAAAAAUCAGAUACAAUUUAUCAAAUUACCAAGUCAUGAAAAAUAUAAAUAAAAAGUUGGGCUUAUUAUUA
Gadus morhua (Atlantic cod) is the source of this 423-nucleotide long non-coding RNA. RefSeq lists it as uncharacterized. The record is from RefSeq and is a predicted model, not a curated record. NCBI's taxonomy places the organism in Eukaryota, Metazoa, Chordata, Actinopteri, Gadiformes, Gadidae. The transcript is spliced from 2 exons.